This 336-nucleotide ribosomal RNA is filed under the name uncultured bacterium. Its description in RNAcentral is "partial 16S ribosomal RNA". It matches the Rfam family "Bacterial small subunit ribosomal RNA", at positions 338 to 691 of the family's 1533-position model. The record is from RNAcentral.
CCUACGGGAGGCAGCAGUAGGGAAUAUUGCUCAAUGGGGGAAACCCUGAAGCAGCAACGCCGCGUGGAGGAUGAAGGUGUUCGGAUUGUAAACGCCGUGUGGUAGAGAAGAGAAUGACGGUAGCUAACGAAUAAGCACCGGCUAACUCCGGGCCAGCAGCCGCGGUAAUACGGAGGGUGCAAGCGUUACUCGGAAUCACUGGGCGUAAAGAGCGCGUAGGCGGGAUUGGAUGUCAGAGGGGAAAUCCUAUGGCUUAACCAUAGAACUGCAUUUGAAACUGUUAUUCUAGAGUUUGGGAGAGGUCGGUGGCAUUCUUGGUGUAGCGGUCAACUCCGU